Molecule: long non-coding RNA, 4742 nt
Organism: Dermacentor andersoni
Lineage: Eukaryota; Metazoa; Arthropoda; Arachnida; Ixodida; Ixodidae
Source: RefSeq, a predicted model, not a curated record
GCACGCGGCAGCGGUAGUAGGGGGCGAGCCUGUGCAGCUAAGCACUUCUCCACUGGUCGGUCGCUAGGCUACGGUUCUCUCGCCUCCGACCGACGACGCUCACGGGCGAGUGCCGAGAAGAUGCGAUGCCGCCUAGGCGCGGUCCAUGGUUCGACCGGAGAGCGACGUGUUGUGGCGGCGGCGACCAAGUGGCCUCGAUCGGUGCCAGACUAGCUCGGGGGAGCCCGUGACAUCAGCAGCGGCGGCCGGAGAAAGCGAGCGCACGACGCCGCUGCGGCCUUCGCCGUCGCUACCGCCUCUGCCGAUACGCAACGAGCUCGCCGGAGCGCCGGGGAUUUCUCAGCGCAGCCGCGGAGACCGCGGGCGAGCCGGCGAACGAACGGCACAGCGCGCAGCGGAGGAGGCACGGGGAAAGGGUGCGGCAUGAAAAAAAACUUACUAAAGCAAGGAAUAUCCGAAACUAUAGGGAAAAAAAAAAUUCGCGACGCGCGCGCGCAUGCGCGCCGCUUUUUGCAAUGCUCACUAGAUGGCGCGAGACACAAAUGCGCCCCGCGCCGCGGCUCGAAGUCGAAACACCAUUGAGUUGUAGGAGACACCUGUAGCAGCUAUCUUGGAUAUUUCGCCACGGCUGGAUUCCGCCGUGUUCUAUUCCUUCUUUUUAUAUUUAGAGCUUACCCCGCAUUGCCCGAAGGCGCUAAAGCAGAAAGGUUGCAGCAUUCACAUCAACAAAUCUUCAUUUUUACACUUGUACUUGCACUUGAGACAAUUUGUUCCACUCUUUAAUCGUUCUAACAAAAAAGGAUUUUCGAAUAGGUCCGUCCUGGCAUGCAAUUCCCUUAUUUUGAAAACAUGGCCAGUUCUAUGUGAACUGUAAUGAGAUUCUUUAAAGUAUUUUUCUUUGUUCAUUCCUGUUUUUUCAUUAAAUAUCUGAAAAAAAAGAAAAUAGAACUUCAACUGCAAGUCUUGUCGAUGUGAGGAAACAGUUCCCACUCAAGUUCAUUUUUCAUCUGAGUGCAGCUCUCCCCCCUCUUGUACAGUCCCAAGAUGAACCUAGCUACCCGAUUUUGAAUUUUGUCUAGUACAUAAAUCAGUGUAAUGCCCCUGUCAAGCGGGCAAGUUAAGUGCAUGUAUGGAAAGUGCACUCGGUUUUAAGGGCGCUUCCCCAAAUCUAAACGUCGCAAGCGGAGUGACUCGCAGAAAAAGGCACUCUGGUCGGAGUGCGUUCACGGAACGCACUUUGCUGGUGAAGUGCGUAGCCUUUGUGCCAGCGUUUUCAACAAUACAAAAUGUAAUGCAUAGAAAAAGAACAGAAAUUCAUUCUAGCUGUUGAACAGCUUUUAACGAAAUAAUCAGAACAGAACUCGCCGAUAUUCUGUUCUAGCAGGAUCAAAUGCCAUCUCGUCGUGCGCCACCCAUAGAGUUUCUUAGAAUAAUUACUAGAGGGAAUUCUGGCACUGCAGUCGUUGUACCACCACGGGAAUGAUGGGAAGUGCAUGGAUUUGUCUGAUUUACGUGCUUGUGGAUUCAGACGUUCUUGUAGCUUUGUAUAUUACGCUAUAUAAAUCUUAUUGUCGUAAUUUUCAGCACAAUCUAUGCUCGUCAAAGUGCAGAAAACGCCGCCAACACGCACAAUUGCUAUUAAUUGAAAUGAUUGAGCUUGUUCAGGUGGCCAAAUAGAAAUGUGCCAAGCGUCUCAAGGCACUGGCAUGCCUGCGAUAAAUUCAUAAGGGUGUUGCACUCGUUUGUCAUUACAUGCGUCCGUGGCUUAAUGGUUUCGAUAUCAAGCUUCUGUUUUAGAGUUCCUGUGUUCGAAUCCUGCUGACGGCCAAUUUUAAUGAUGUUUAUUUAAUUAUUUAUUACACACUAUAUUGUUGAAAAUGACUAGUUUACAAAGUCACAAAGCCGUCUGAAGCCAAAAAGACGAAGUUUAGGCAAAUCCAUGUACUUCUCAUAAUUCCCAUGCUGGUACAACCGUUCUUGUUGCAGCUCCCAUAGACACUAGCACCAGAGUUCCCUCUAGUAAUUAUUGUAAGAAACUAUUACGCCACCAUCUUCUUCUGGAUUGACUAUGCAUUCAUCUUGGCCGGCGUUGACUUGCAACAUUCUUAUGAUAAAAAUAUUUUCGUUUUUUGUUAAGUAAAUAUAGAUUAAGAUUGCUUUUUAUUUAUAAUACAACCAAUGCAAUCACAUUUAAGAAGGUUAUUUAUUUUACGCUACGUCUUCAAAAAACAUGAUUUUAGUCUGUCACCAUUUUUUUUUUUAGUGCGAGUGCACUCUGUUUUCCUAGCCUAAAGUGUCACUCAAGGUCCCGAAGUGCACUCCCUGUAAGUGCACUGAACUUGCCCGCUUGAUUGAGGUAUAACUUGCAAAGGAUCCCGUACAGCACAGGCAGUCUAGUAUAGGCCGAACUCCUUGGCUUUUAAUUUCUUUUUUUUUUUACCAAUCACAGAGGAUGUGGACAACCAUCAGAGCCAAUCAGAAGGAGCAAUAUAAUGUCAUUACAUUACACCAAAAUGGCCAGGAAAGGUAGAAAAUUUGCAUGUGCCGAUGCAUAAGAACUGUUCCCAUGGCAGUCCUGCAUGCUGUGCUGAGACCGGAUAGGCUAUUUCACAAACUAAUAUAUUUUAAACCGUUCCUCUACUUAACAGUUCACUUGGCUUCGAGGCAUAUGAAUGGCAACGCCGCCUCAUGACUUAAAUGGUCACAGCACUUCGAUGGCAGACCAUGCCAAUACCAGAGCAAGAAAUUUCUAACCAAGCGUUCUUUGUUGGCAUCUACACCAAUGGACUUGAGAGAAUGCGUGCUUCUCAAGCAACUAGUGGGGGCAAGAAUUGCCAAGAAGCGUUAUCGAAGCACGGUUACGUCAGUCAAGGGGUGGCAAUUCGCUACAACCAAUGGGGCCAAGGAAGAGCUUGAAUAUGGGGGUAAGUCUCAAUCUCUGCAGUUUGCUUCAAAACUGCAGUCAUGUGUUAGCUAUUGGAUUAUAACUAGCUACUUGGAUCCAAAGCGCUGGAGUUCACUGCACUAUUGCUUCACAAGAUGUGAAUAAACAUACAGAAAAAAGGAAGCACCGCAAUAAACAGCAGAAUAUAUAGUUGAUUAAUGUCAGCAAGCGUGCCAGAAUUUAGUGUCCUACCACUCAUUUACAUUGCCGGGACCAUCAAGCAACCAAUCACGACAAAACAUAACUUUAUGUGACAAGUUAUCUUGGAGACAAGGAUGAUGUUACUUGUGUUGGACUGCAGCUAUUUAUUCUUAAUUUACAACAAAAAGGCAUUUCAAACUGCUAGUGUGAGAAAGUACUCUGGAUCACCCACACAAACAUUACGCCGCAGUGACAGGUGAAAAACAGAUUGCUGCAAAUUGUGCGUGCUCCACCAGUUCUAACUGGUCAACAGCUAUGGAAUUCCAUUUGCAAACAAUAGGCAGCGAGUUCAGUUCCCAAUUGUAGAGCACUCUGAUAGGGCGUCAGAAUGCAGGAAUGUCUUCGAGCUUACAUUUUAGUGGGCACUGAAGGAACCCAGGUGAUGAAACUUAAUUCAACAGCCUCGCCUGGCUUCACAGACCACGUGCGGCUCAGGGGCAAUAAUAUGCAACACUUCAAGCACUACAGGCGAUGAUGACCAAGCAAGAAUGAAAAAGCUUGUCCACUCUCUGUCGCUAACUAUAGGCAACUGAAUAGGACGAUUAGCAGCACAAAAUGGACACAUUCCUCAUCAUUCUUUGAGAUGUGCAGCCAAGUCUCAUUCCUGAUUUGCUGCCGAUGUAGACCACACGCAUUACGGGAAAAGGUGCAGGUAACAUCAGCCAGCCGGGAAUGAGACUGAAAAGUCUUACCAAUUGUCUGCCACUGAUUCCCCUCAGCAUGGAAGCAUCACGUAAGGAUUAGCAAAACUAAAUCGUCAUGUUCUUUGUCUUUGCCAAAGACAUGCAGCUAGCUGUCAUUCCUGAUUUGCUUACAUGACUAGUAGCUUUCACUGUGUUGUGCUGAGCCAGUGAACUCGAGCAUAGUUUCCCCGUGCUGCAGAAAAACUAAAGGAUGAAAGAAUACAUCGCCAAGAAUAAAAAAUAAUGAACGUCUUUAUUAUGAUUAUGAAAAUUACAGAUAAUGUACACAAUUUUGGUGAACAAUUGAUGCAACAUCACAGUUGUGUAAACACGUGCUCACUGAGAUCAGUAAUUGAACACAGUAACAAUUAACGAGUCCUGAAACAAUUACAAACAAAUAUUGAAGAGUUGUAAAAAACUUCCAAAACUAUACGAGUAAAGCAAGACAAAAUGAUGUACCAUUUACCUGAGUAUAUCCACAAAAAAGAAUAAUAAAGUAAAGGAACCCAGCAGCUUCAGUAAAGCUUUAGAAAAAUUUCAGAACACUACCAUAUUUACUCAAUUCUAACGCACACAUUUUUCCAGAAAAUUUUUUUACCAAAUUAUAUGCAUGUUAGGUCUGAGCAUGAAACUAAAUGUGUUACAGUGACAAUUUAUUAUCAUUGACAUAAUAUUUUUUUUACUCCAAUUCACAUGUCACUGCAGCUGUAUUAGCUGCGGUAGAUUCGUGCCCACUUUGCAAGUUCAUUAGGCUAUUCUAGAUGCUAUGGUUAGGCUGCAAUGGUCUGCAAAGGGAAGAUUUGAUGCUCUGGGCAGUUUAUAGUGAUAAGACUCUGACAGUGAUUAUGAGUGGUGCCUGACCUACUGUGUCUCAGAUACAAUAAAUUUUCUUUUUACAAGAGAGCAAAUCAUCA